ACUUGAUUAUCUAGAGUCUGUUCCAAGUUUAGAAAAGCUCACAUCCCUUCGCAGCUUGACGAUUGCAUUCUGUGACCAAUUAAGGUGCCAGUGGGUUAGCAAUGGCAUCCCCACACGUAUUCACCCGUCUCAAGUCCUUGGAUAUUGGUGGGUUCUGCCGUGAGCUGGAUUCAUUCCCUGCUUUUCAGGUUCUACCGCAACUUGAACAGUUAUGGAUCCGCGGGUGGCCUCAGCUCAAGUCUCUGCCUGAACAAAUUCUGCACUAGACGUCUUUGACGGAGUUGUGGAUAGCGUCCUUUGAGGGAGUGGAGACCAUUCCAAAAUGGUUGGGAAACCUUGCAUCUCUUAUAUCCUUGCGUAUUCGGAAUUGCGAGAACUCAAGUAUCUACCUUCCUUCCAAGCUAUGCACGGCCUUACCAAAUUAGGGGAGCUAUGGAUCCACAGAUGUCCCCUUCUAAGCGAAAGAUGCAGAGAGGAGAGCGGCCCAGAGUGGCCUAAGAUCUGUCAAAUUCCAAAUAUCAAAGUUGACUAAGAUAUUUUAAAACCAUCUGCAAGAAAAUAUGCAGGAGCAUUCCUCGGAUACAAGCUGUGGUCCUGAAUGAAAGGAGCAUCUAUAAUUAUUUUGGCAUAAUAUAUAUUUCAUGAGUGACUCGGAGGUUUUCACCAGAGUCAGGAGCAUCUAUUAUUAUUUUAAACAUAAUUGUCUGCAGGAGAUUUUCUGGGAAAUUCAAUUGAUUUUUCAAGGCAGACAGUUUAUGUUCAGGCGGUGGCCCUUCAACGAUUCUUCAAGACUGCCUAAGCCAAUUGACAGGCCAUGAUGUCAAUUCCAAAACCUAAGGAGCUAGCUUCAGUUCCAUGCUUAAAGGAUAAAGUUCCUGCAGUAGAUCACUCCCCAAAAAAGGAGCUUAUUCAUUCAUUGGGAUUAGAGGACUAUUUUCCAGACUGCAGUUUUCUCAGCCAAACUAAAGCAUAGUGUAACCGUAUUUCUUCAUAGUAAAACACAAAAACUAGCGCAUCUAAA
This is a long non-coding RNA of Argentina anserina (silverweed cinquefoil), 1021 nucleotides long. RefSeq lists it as uncharacterized. The record is from RefSeq and is a predicted model, not a curated record. Lineage: Eukaryota; Viridiplantae; Streptophyta; Magnoliopsida; Rosales; Rosaceae. The transcript has 4 exons.